This 73-nucleotide transfer RNA is filed under the name Neotoma lepida (desert woodrat). It matches the Rfam family "tRNA". Rfam says of the family: Transfer RNA (tRNA) molecules are approximately 80 nucleotides in length. Their secondary structure includes four short double-helical elements and three loops (D, anti-codon, and T loops). Lineage: Eukaryota; Metazoa; Chordata; Mammalia; Rodentia; Cricetidae. The record is from Rfam by way of RNAcentral.
GCCUGGCUAGCUCAGUCGGUAAUGCAUGGGACUCUUAAUCCCAGGGUCAUGGGUUUGUGCCCCACAUUGGGCA